This 1029-nucleotide long non-coding RNA is filed under the name Homo sapiens (human). Its description in RNAcentral is "HSALNT0393864". Lineage: Eukaryota; Metazoa; Chordata; Mammalia; Primates; Hominidae. The record is from RNAcentral.
GCCUUACUUUACUCAGUUUUACGAUAGAGUAGCAAACUAAUAACCUCUAAAAUCCUUUCUAGUUUUGAUUUCUUUGGAUUAGCUUCUCAAGGAUACUUUCCAAUCACUUCAAGCAGCAGUGCUGUGUCUCAGGCUGAUAUUCACUCUUCUUUAUGAUCACCAAGCACCUCACCAAAGGCAGAGGAAAUGCUGACUUUACAUUGACACAGACUUCAGAGAAACUUGACUGUUUAGUCAACAGGUUUGCCAUAAUGUGCACAGACCAAUAUUAGCAGCAAAAUAAGAAAAAAAGGAAAUGUUAAAUAAUUUAUUAUUUUAUAUUUUUGACUGCUAUUCUAUGUCAUCUUCCUGGUAAACUAAAUAUUUCUUAUUUUAUUAUUCUUUUCAUGAUGGAAAAGGUACCCAUCUUGGCUUGUGUUAAAAAAAAAUGGUUCACAUGAUUUUGAAGUUUGAAGGUAAAUCUAGCAUCAGGCAUGAUUUUGUCUAGAGGUCAAAAAGAUAAUGUCCGAGUUUCUUCUCUUCAUUUCUUUAGCCUCAGUCUUUUUUAGUGUGUUUGACUCAUUCUUUAUAACUGCAUAUGAUAUCCUACAAGUGGCUGACUGCGGCCACAGAGGUGUUGGUGCUAUUUCUGGGCCAAGGUGUGUAUUGGAUGUGGUCCCACCACACUCCUUGCUCUCUUGCCCCUCCCUCUGCCUGGGUGAAGCUAAUAGAGAAGCCCUGAGGGAUGGUGAUACCACAAGCCGUCAAGAAACUCAGUUACUCAGUCAUCAAUGGAGGAAAACUUCAGGCUGACUAGCAACGCCUGCUUGAACGAUUAAGACAGCAGGAGGCCGGGUGUGGUGGCUCAUGCCUAUAAUCCCAGCAUGUUGGGAGGCCGAGGUGAGUGGAUCACCUGACAUCAGGAGUUCAAGACCAGCCUGACCAACAAGAGGAAUAGUGAGAGAAAAAGAAGGAAAAAAGCUUCACCUUCACCCCUGGAACAUUCAUAUUUAUUAUUAUACAAGGCAAGUUGAUGUUGAAUAAAUUCAG